This is an RNA transcript of Tupaia belangeri chinensis (Chinese tree shrew), 923 nucleotides long. It is a transcript of the gene named transport and Golgi organization protein 1 homolog, with no coding region annotated. NCBI's taxonomy places the organism in Eukaryota, Metazoa, Chordata, Mammalia, Scandentia, Tupaiidae. The transcript is spliced from 10 exons. The record is from RefSeq and is a predicted model, not a curated record.
AGCUUCUGAGGAGACCUCAGGUUGUGAAUUUGGAAACUUCCUUGUGGCUUUACCAUUGUAAUGGCUUUACAUCACCACUUGCCCCAUCUGCUGGACAAAGGUGGCCAAUAAUGCAAAGUCAGAGGAUGCCACAGGAACCCAGGCUGUAAAACACAAUGUUGGGUGGAUCUGGCAUGGACAUCCCUCCAUGGGGAGACAUGGGAGCCUGUGCAGUGUGCAUGAAGAACAGCAGCUCAAUCCCUCCUGAGGACCAGGACAAAGGAAAGGUCAAGGCUGACUUCAUAUUCCUUCAGAUGCAUCUUCUGUGUGAUGAUUUUCAUCUUGGUCCUAAUUGUUUUGGAAAUUUUUGGAAGCCUGUCAUCAUUGCUGCCUACUUGGGCAUUUCAGCAGUUGUCAUAUUCAUCUGGAGAAUUAUCUUUCCUGAAGCUAUUUAUGAGAUGACAUAAAUGGAAAGAGAAAAAAAAGAAGCUGUCAAUUGCACAAGAUAAAGAGAAAUCAGCUAGUGAAGAAAUACUGUAUUUAAAGAAAAAAAACUGGAGAAAUUCAAGAACAAGUGCAGAAAAAAGAGAAGCACCUUCAACACCAGAUCAUCAUUUAUGAACAAAAGACUCAUGACAACUGGCUCAGGACUUGUGCUGUGGACAGGGCAGUGGCAGAAGAAAUCAGGGAGGCCACCUACUUGAAGGAACGUUUGGCAAUAAUACGAUAUCAGAGGCUGCCCAAGGGACACAGGCUGCACCCAGCACCAGGGGGAUCCAGCAUGGACAACCCUGCAUGGAAAGAACCACCCAUGUGACAUCCAGAGGACCCUGAUCCUUGAUAAACCACAAUCGUAGCUGAAUAUUGGAAAAGGUGUCACAGGCACAUUACUCUUUUCCCUGUCUGAUCAUGCCUCUUCCCUGUUUUAACUUUUCUUUGAUGUU